RNAcentral lists this ribosomal RNA (179 nucleotides) under uncultured bacterium. RNAcentral describes it as "partial 16S ribosomal RNA". It matches the Rfam family "Bacterial small subunit ribosomal RNA", at positions 1314 to 1500 of the family's 1533-position model. The record is from RNAcentral.
GACUCCACGAAGUUGGAUUCGCUAGUAAUCGCGCAUCAGCCACGGCGCGGUGAAUACGUUCCCGGGCCUUGUACACACCGCCCGUCAAGCCAUGGGAGCCGGGAGUGCCUGAAGUACGUGACCGCAAGGAGCGUCCUAGGGUAAGACCGGUGACUGGGGCUAAGUCGUAACAAGGUACC